RNAcentral lists this ribosomal RNA (763 nucleotides) under Pelophryne signata (Saint Andrew's Cross toadlet). Its description in RNAcentral is "partial large subunit ribosomal RNA". It matches the Rfam family "Bacterial large subunit ribosomal RNA", at positions 1465 to 2548 of the family's 2925-position model. Lineage: Eukaryota; Metazoa; Chordata; Amphibia; Anura; Bufonidae. The record is from RNAcentral.
AUCCCUCAACAAUACUGAGUAUUUSUAUAAUACUAUAGAAAAUUUUAUGUURAAACUAGUAACAAGAAGAAGACACUUCUCUUAAAUGUACCUUUAAAUCAGAAAGGACCAACCACUGAUAUUUAACAUACGAGUAAAAAGUAGUAACUGAUCAAGAAAACUCUUCUCUCACCACUGUUAACCUAACACAAGAACAUUUCAAGAAAGAUUAAAAAAACAAGAAGGAACUCGGCAAAUAUUUAACCCCGCCUGUUUACCAAAAACAUCGCCUCUUGACUCUAAUAAGAGGUCCAGCCUGCCCAGUGACUUUGUUCAACGGCCGCGGUAUCCUAACCGUGCGAAGGUAGCGUAAUAACUUGUCCUUUAAAUAAGGACUAGUAUGAAUGGCAUCACGAAGGUUAUACUGUCUCCUUUUUUUAAUCAGUUAAACUAAUCUCCUCGUGAAGAAGCGAGGAUAAAAAUAUAAGACGAGAAGACCCUAUGGAGCUUCAAACAAAGUGGCACUUAUUACAUAUAACUUCUAUACUUAAAUCUUUUAAUAAUAUGACCAUAAGUUUUUGGUUGGGGUGACCACGGAGUACAACAAAACCCCCAUGUUGAAAUUUUAAGCCAAGAACAACAUAUCUAAGCAUCAACAUUUUGACAUUCAUUGACCCAAUUUAAUUGAACACNGAACCAAGUUACCCUAGGGAUNACUGCGCAUCCAMUUCAGAGCCCYNAUCGACANGKGGGUUUACGACCUCGAUGUGGAUCAGGCUUCCCA